Molecule: long non-coding RNA, 627 nt
Organism: Morus notabilis
Lineage: Eukaryota; Viridiplantae; Streptophyta; Magnoliopsida; Rosales; Moraceae
Exons: 3
Source: RefSeq, a predicted model, not a curated record
CUCUCUCUUCCCAGCCCCCUCUCUCUUUUUCUCCGUCACUUUCUCUCCUCUCCGUCCAAGUUCCGGGAGAUCUGAAUUGCAGAGUCGAUCUCUCUCGGCCGCCGCCGAGACGGAGCUUGCUCGGACUAGCGGCGCUCUCUCUCCAUGCCUCUGCGAUGGUCCACCGGAUCUGCGACGAACCCGCGACAUUCUCUCUCUUUUCACGGCAACGAGACGAAUUUGCACCGGGUCCGACAAGAUCUCCGCCGAUGACUCGAUCUCAGUAACAUCCGGUGGCUCGGAUCGCUGCGGAGAAGAUCUAGAGAUCGUCGCCAAGAUCUCCACAAUCGUCAACAAUCUUCUCCAAGCCGCAACCUGGAGCUACUGUGAAGUUUAAAGAUAUUAGUGCUGCAUAUGAGGUGCUAUCAGACGAUAAAAAGCGAGCUUUGUAUGAUCAAUAUGGUGAAGCUGGAGUUAAGAACAGAGUAGGAGGAGGCUCAAGUGCCUAUACGGUAUUGCAUGUUCUUGUUGGAUUGGGGAAUUUUAGUUGCUUUCUCUCUGACAUACAUUUUUAGCAUAUCUUCAUACCAGAAAUUGUGUGCCUGAAUUAUAUAGGAAUUAGAAUGAGAUGCAGUAUUUUUCCUUUUU